AGAUUGAACGCUGGCGGCAUGCCUAACACAUGCAAGUCGAACGGGAGUAGCAAUACUCUAGUGGCGGACGGGUGAGGAAUACGUAGGAAUUUGCCCUUAAGUGGGGGAUAACCCGGGGAAACCCGGAUUAAUACCGCAUGACCUCGAAAGAGCAAAGUGGGGGAUCGCAAGACCUCACGCUUUUGGAGAAGCCUACGUCGGAUUAGCUAGUUGGUGAGGUAAUGGCUCACCAAGGCGACGAUCCGUAACUGGUCUGAGAGGAUGAUCAGUCACACCGGAACUGAGACACGGUCCGGACUCCUACGGGAGCAGCAGUGGGGAAUAUGGACAAUGGGCNCAAGCCUGAUCAGCAAUGCCGCGUGUGUGAAGAAGGCCUUCGGUUGUAAGCA
RNAcentral lists this ribosomal RNA (389 nucleotides) under uncultured soil bacterium. RNAcentral's name for it is "bacterial SSU rRNA". It matches the Rfam family "Bacterial small subunit ribosomal RNA", at positions 26 to 432 of the family's 1533-position model. The record is from RNAcentral.